This 391-nucleotide ribosomal RNA is filed under the name Chrysophyceae sp. RNAcentral describes it as "partial small subunit ribosomal RNA". It matches the Rfam family "Eukaryotic small subunit ribosomal RNA", at positions 582 to 975 of the family's 1831-position model. The record is from RNAcentral. Lineage: Eukaryota; Chrysophyceae.
AUUCCAGCUCCAAUAGCGUAUAUUAAAGUUGUUGCAGUAAAAAAGCUCGUAGUUGAAUUUCUGGGUGUGAUAGGCGGUCCGUGUGCAUAACAUGUGUACCUCCCUCUCAUGCCCAUCCUCGAAGUGAAUAUGCAUUGCCUUAACUGUGUCGUGUAUAGGACCUUCGUCAUUUACUGUGAGCAAAAUAGAGUGUUCAAAGCAGGCUUAUGCCGUUGAAUAUAUUAGCAUGGAAUAAUAAGAUAUGACUUCUGUCUAUUUUGUUGGUUUGCAUUCGGAAGUAAUGAUUAAUAGGGAUAGUUGGGGGUUUUCGUAUUCAAUUGUCAGAGGUGAAAUUCUUGGAUUUAUGGAAGACGAACUACUGCGAAAGCAUCAACCAAGGAUGUUUUCAUUA